This 155-nucleotide unclassified non-coding RNA is filed under the name uncultured Ascomycota. RNAcentral's name for it is "sequence contains ITS1". The record is from RNAcentral. Lineage: Eukaryota; Fungi; Ascomycota.
CAGAGUUAUCUAACUCCCACCCUUUGUUAACUAUACCUUUGUUGCUUUGGCGGGCCUGCCCUAGGCUCCCGGCCGCUCGCGGCUGGGUCGUGCCCGCCAGAGGACUCCAAACUCUUGCUUUUACAGUGUCGUCUGAGCAAUGAUUAAAUCAAAUA